RNAcentral lists this transfer RNA (66 nucleotides) under Aleochara postica. Its description in RNAcentral is "tRNA-Glu". Lineage: Eukaryota; Metazoa; Arthropoda; Insecta; Coleoptera; Staphylinidae. The record is from RNAcentral.
AUUUAUAUAGUUUAAUUAAAACAUUAUAUUUUCAUUAUAAAAAUAAGAUUUUAUUCUUUAUAAAUA